This is a long non-coding RNA of Halichondria panicea, 638 nucleotides long. RefSeq lists it as uncharacterized. The record is from RefSeq and is a predicted model, not a curated record. The transcript is spliced from 5 exons. NCBI's taxonomy places the organism in Eukaryota, Metazoa, Porifera, Demospongiae, Suberitida, Halichondriidae.
AGCCACCAACUACGAAAGCGACUAAUAACAGGAAGGUUUCCAUAUGCUGACACAGCAUAUAUUGUGCUGACUCAGCGCGGUUUCCACAGUGUACAGUAUGUGUCAGGGCUCCUAUUUGAAUUCUUCUUCUUCUGAGACUGUACUAGUAGACUCCUGUGGACUAGCUCAUCUACACUACUCUAGCCUACUGUGGACUGUGAAGAAGUUCCUGCAGUACCAAUCUGUAUCUUCUGAAGGAGUAUUCUUCUCUACUUCAAUGUCAGUGCAAGACCUAUACAAGAGAUAGUUAUUAAAAAUGAGUUUCUUAGAGAAGUAAGAUUGGAUACUGAUCAAAUCUUCGUCCACCACUUCAUCAGGUGGCUGUUUAUUCUGUCAAGAAUUGCCAACAUGAACUCGUGAGCAUCUUCUUGAUUACCUGCAUGGCUGCCAGUGAUGCAUCAAACCUUCGGUAUAUUCAAUAAAAACUGAGAGUAUAUGCCAGAGGGAUGAACUUGGGAUCUCGUCUGACAUUCGUCGUACAGGCUUUUAAGUGUGCACACCAUGCAUAACUGUUCACUUCCCUGACUAUGUUCUGUUACAAAUUUUACAUGAACAAUUGAAUGUGCAUUAUUAAUAUUCUCCUUACCAUGUGGUACUCG